CGCGGGACGGGGCGGCUGUGGGUGGAGCGCGGCCCCGCCGGGCGUGGGCGUGAGACUGCGGUCCCGCCGUGGUGUUGCCGCGGUUCUUCCUGACACAAAACACAAACAGCGGAGUGCACACGCAGGGUACAUAGGCAAGUUGGGCAGUAAAUGAAUGGAAGAAGAACAUGAUGAGAAUAUCCCAUCCAACUUCUACAAGAUCAGCAUUCUUU
This 212-nucleotide long non-coding RNA is filed under the name Gallus gallus (chicken). RNAcentral describes it as "long non-coding RNA NONGGAT004749". Lineage: Eukaryota; Metazoa; Chordata; Aves; Galliformes; Phasianidae. The record is from RNAcentral.